RNAcentral lists this unclassified non-coding RNA (334 nucleotides) under uncultured fungus. Its description in RNAcentral is "partial contains small subunit ribosomal RNA, internal transcribed spacer 1, and 5.8S ribosomal RNA". The stretch from base 1 to 73 matches the Rfam family "Eukaryotic small subunit ribosomal RNA", at positions 1759 to 1831 of the family's 1831-position model. Lineage: Eukaryota; Fungi. The record is from RNAcentral.
GCAAACUUGGUCAUUUAGAGGAAGUAAAAGUCGUAACAAGGUUUCCGUAGGUGAACCUGCGGAAGGAUCAUUAUUGAGUUGUAAUGGGGUUUGAUGCUGGCAGCCACUUCUUUUUGGAUGCAUGUGCUCGCCCUAACAAUCAUCUUCCAAACACUUGUGCACAUUUUUUGAGGGGAGGCAUCGAGUUGAUCACUCUGGUGAUUUUGUCCCGCAUUCCCUCAAUUGAUUUAUACGCUGCCUGUAAUGCUGAACGUGCUUUGUGCCGCAAGGCCUUUAAUCUAAUACAACUUUUAACAACGGAUCUCUUGGCUCUCGCAUCGAUGAAGAACGCAGC